Molecule: transfer RNA, 63 nt
Filed under: Pseudocrangonyx joolaei
Lineage: Eukaryota; Metazoa; Arthropoda; Malacostraca; Amphipoda; Pseudocrangonyctidae
Description: tRNA-Trp
Source: RNAcentral
UAGACUUUAAGUUAUAAAAACUAAAACCUUCAAAGUUUUCAAAAAGAUUCUUCUUAAGUCUAA